GAUGAACGCUGGCGGCGUGCCUAAUACAUGCAAGUCGAGCGAACAGACGAGGAGCUUGCUCCUCUGACGUUAGCGGCGGACGGGUGAGUAACACGUGGAUAACCUACCUAUAAGACUGGGAUAACUUCGGGAAACCGGAGCUAAUACCGGAUAAUAUAUUGAACCGCAUUGUUCAAUAGUGAAAGACGGUUUUGCUGUCUCUUAUAGAUGGAUCCGCGCCGCAUGAGCUAGUUGGUAAGUUAACGGCUUACCAAGGCUACGAUGCGUAGCCGACCUGAGAGGGUGAUCGGCCACACUGGAACUGGGCCACGGUCCAGACUCCUACGGGAGGCAGCAGUAGGGAAUCUGCCGCAAUGGUCGAAAGCCUUACGGAGCAACGCCGCGUGAGUGAUGAAGGUCUUCGGAUCGUAAAACUCUGUUAUUAGGGAAGAACAAAUGUGUAAGUAACUAUGCACGUCUUGACGGUACCUAAUCAGAAAGCCACGGCUAACUACGUG
This 497-nucleotide ribosomal RNA is filed under the name uncultured bacterium. Its description in RNAcentral is "partial 16S ribosomal RNA". It matches the Rfam family "Bacterial small subunit ribosomal RNA", at positions 28 to 507 of the family's 1533-position model. The record is from RNAcentral.